Molecule: long non-coding RNA, 1804 nt
Organism: Anolis carolinensis (green anole)
Lineage: Eukaryota; Metazoa; Chordata; Lepidosauria; Squamata; Anolidae
Exons: 2
Source: RefSeq, a predicted model, not a curated record
UAAAGGCCAUCAUUUUACUACAUUAUUGUAUAUAAUUACUUUUGAUCAUCCACAGAUUUGGACCAAACAGAUUUGGACCUUGAACCAAACCACAGCAGAUACCAAAGGUCUACUAUACUUUCCUGUUUCAUCACCAGCUCAGAGACUUGCACGAAACGGAUUCUGAGAAUAGAAAGGACAUGGAGCACCGCCCUCAGGAAGAGCUCGUCAAAUUCCACUUGGAGUUUCUCCACUGAGAAGGGGUGCAUUGGGUAGCCAUAGCCUUUGGCGUGGCUGACGUACUGGGCCCAGUGAUCGCUCACGUAGCAAAGCGUCAUCCUACGGGACCAGGGGAAGGUAAGGAAGAGAGAAGAAAAACAAAGUAAUGAAGUAGAAUCCAAACCAGUCUUCAGUGGAGCCAUAUUAGCCCAAUCUAGUCCUAUCCUCACGCUGAAACAGCACUGCAAUUGCCUGCCUGCAAGGUCCCAUUACAGGCCUCCAUAUUCACUAGGGUUAGGAGUCUAGACUCUCACAAAGAUGGAAAACUCAUGAAUAAAACAACUCUUUUUAUCUGAGCGAAAAUUUAGAAUCAUAAAGUUGGACUGGACCCCAAGGACCAUCCAGACCAAACCCCUGCCAUGCAGGAACACACAACCGAAGAACCCUUAGCACAGUGGUUCUCAACAUGGGGUUCCCCCAGGUGAUUUUGGCCUACAACUCCCAGAAAUCCCAGCCAGUUUACAAGCUGUUAAGAUUUCUGGAAGUUAAAGGCCAAAAACAUCUGGGGACCCUAGGUUGAGAACCACUGUGUUGUGACUGCGCCUUCGGGGAUUAUGGUUGAUGGUGAUGGAAUUCGAAGAGGAAGAAAAAACCCUCGUGAUGAGGGUUCACUGGAGGAGUUGCGCAGGAAGCGACUUAGAGAGCUAUAUGGGGGGAUCUUCUGAGGAAGAUUCAGAUGGGGAGAUGGAUGCUGAGGAACAGGUGGUGGCUGGGGAAGCGGACACUGAAUGGGCACAGCCACCGGAGAUGUCUGGGGAUUUGGGGCCUAUGGAUACUUCUGAACCUGGGGUUUCUGCAGGAGCUGAUCCCAAUUGGGAUGCUUGGAGAAGGGAGGAUGGUUCUUUAAGUGUUCAUGGGGCUAAGUGUGGGCAGGAUGAUUGGGACUCCGACGAAUUGCUAGGUACUCCAGAUCCACGAGCUCUAGCUGUGUGGAGUUCAGACUCUGAGUAGAUUUGGGACACCUGGUGUUUGGGUGUGAGUGUUUGGUCACCCAGGAGGAAGGGGAAUAAAAUGGGAAUGUUUGGCCACUGCACUUUGCGUGUGGCAAGGUGUUGCUGAGGCGCCAUUGGGAUCUCUGUGUUUCCAUGAAGACUGGACUUGGACUAUGAUUUGAAUCUGCUGAUAUCAUCUAGCUUGGCUCUCGCUGUGUCUUAUCGUGGACCUGUUUUGGAUGAUUGCACCCUCUUCGGACUUUGGAUUGAAUUUGACCUGGCUUCUGUCUACGCCCUCUGACUGACGGCUACUCCCGGCUUCUGACUAUUGGUUUGUCUUUCGGAAUUUCUGCUGCCUCCUGACCUGACCUUGGAUUCUUCUGACGACGGCUAUUCAUCAUCCCUUCGAGGCUCUCGGCUUAUCUGCACAGUGGAAGCAGCGUUAUUGCUUUUCUAGUUGGUUUAUUUUCCAGCAAUUAACUCUAUUUGUUUUCCAAAGCUGAAUUGAAGCGUUAUUUAGUUUUUUAUUGAAAAGUGAAGUGUUUCAAGGAUAUUUCCUGUGUUUAUGUUAUUUUUUGGCUUAUCUUCGGAAUAAACUUUGUUUUGUAUGUUAA